UACGUAGGGCGCAAGCGUUAUCCGGAAUUAUUGGGCGUAAAGAGCUCGUAGGCGGUUUGUCGCGUCUGCCGUGAAAGUCCGGGGCUCAACUCCGGAUCUGCGGUGGGUACGGGCAGACUAGAGUGAUGUAGGGGAGACUGGAAUUCCUGGUGUAGCGGUGAAAUGCGCAGAGAUCGGGAGGAACACCAAUGGCGAAAGCAGGUAACUGGACUAUUACUGACACUCAACUGCGAAAGCUAGGGGAGCAAACAGG
Molecule: ribosomal RNA, 253 nt
Filed under: uncultured bacterium
Lineage: Bacteria
Description: partial 16S ribosomal RNA
Rfam family: Bacterial small subunit ribosomal RNA
Source: RNAcentral